RNAcentral lists this non-coding RNA (29 nucleotides) under Rattus norvegicus (Norway rat). The record is from RNAcentral. Lineage: Eukaryota; Metazoa; Chordata; Mammalia; Rodentia; Muridae.
AGCCUAGCUAUUGCGUUCUUCGUGGGACA